RNAcentral lists this unclassified non-coding RNA (377 nucleotides) under uncultured Actinomycetes bacterium. RNAcentral describes it as "uncultured actinobacterium contains 16S-23S intergenic spacer region". Lineage: Bacteria; Bacillati; Actinomycetota; Actinomycetes. The record is from RNAcentral.
UCCGGUUUGGCACCGGCAGUCUCCCAUGAGUCCCCGACAUCACUCGCUGGCAACAUGGAACAGGGGUUGCGCUCGUUGCGCCACUUAAGGCAACACCUCACGGCACGAGCUGACGACAGCCGUGCAGCACCUGUGCGGGCCCCCGAAAGGGCACCGUGUUUCCACGGUUUCACCCCGCAUGUCAAGCCCUGGUAAGGUUCUGCGCGUUGCUUCGAAUUAAGCAACAUGCUCCGCCGCUUGUGCGGGCCCCCGUCAAUUCCUUUGAGUUUUAGCCUUGCGGCCGUACUCCCCAGGCGGGGCACUUAUCGCGUUAGCUUCGGCACGGAUGGAGUCGACACCACCCACACCUAGCACCCAUCGUUUACGGCGUGGACUAC